Molecule: unclassified non-coding RNA, 300 nt
Filed under: uncultured fungus
Lineage: Eukaryota; Fungi
Description: partial contains 5.8S ribosomal RNA, internal transcribed spacer 2, and large subunit ribosomal RNA
Source: RNAcentral
AACGCAACUUGCGCCGAGCAAUCGGCAUGUAUGUUCGAGAACCGCAUAAUCCAAUGCGUUAAGCGACCUGAUCGUGAUACACGCCUGCGUGCGUCUCGAUUGAAGAGUAGUAGGGAGCCGAGCAGAGUGCCGCGCUGUCUUAGUGCCCUGUGGCAUGUCAGUGAUGGGGCUCUUUAGGCUUAGGGGUGGUUGGGGGGGGUGAUGGGAAUGUGUAUUUCAUAUACACACCCCUAACCCAUUCCGCCAUCCCAUCUAUCUAUCCUUGGUCUCGAAUCAUGCAAGACUACCCGCUGAACUUAA